UACGUAGGGUGCAAGCGUUGUCCGGAAUUAUUGGGCGUAAAGAGCGUGUAGGCGGCCCGAUUAGUCCGCUGUGAAAGUCCAGGGCUCAACCCUGGAAUGCCGGUGGAUACUGUCGGGCUAGAGUCCGGAAGGGGCGAGUGGAAUUCCUGGUGUAGCGGUGAAAUGCGCAGAUAUCAGGAGGAACACCAAUGGCGAAGGCAGCUCGCUGGGACGGUACUGACACUGAGACGCGAAAGCGUGGGGAGCAAACAGG
This 253-nucleotide ribosomal RNA is filed under the name uncultured bacterium. RNAcentral describes it as "partial 16S ribosomal RNA". It matches the Rfam family "Bacterial small subunit ribosomal RNA", at positions 524 to 776 of the family's 1533-position model. The record is from RNAcentral.